CCCCUCAGCUUCUGAUGCUCCAAAGAAAACAAUCCAAGUUGGUCCAACUUCCCAGCAAGUCCUAAAUUGCAAUGUUGCAUGCAAGUACUUCUGAUACUCUUUAACCUACAGCCGUGCCCUAUGGCUGGUGGGAGCCGAAGCGGAGUUGGUGACCCUUGCUCGAGGAAGAAGGGGGUUUAGAGAGUGCGACCAUAAGCGUCCUGCUCAGGGUGAAGCAACCGGCCCUGCCGCAGUGGGGGCCACGGUGCCAUCGGCCAGUCGACAGAGCAACAUGCAGCAAAUGUGGCCGUCAACAUUCAGCCCAGCAAAGUCACAAAAACAGCAGAGAUACCAUCUACCUUCCCUCUAGUCGAUGCAAUGUUUUGACCCAAAACAUUAACCAUCCUUCUGCCUCCACAGAUGCUGUUUGACCAGCCAAGUUCUUCCAGCAGCUAACUCUUUAAAUUAAAAACCAUCCAACUCAAGGCCAGCACAUGGGUUCGCAUCUGACCUGUUUAUCAGGAAUAUCGUUUGGUAAAUCUUCUCUGCUGAAGCCUCCAACAUGGAGCUGCAUCAAUUGAGAAGUAAUGAUGGCCUACGAUUGAAUAAGCCUAAAGAGUACCAUCAAUGGGUGCCACACCAAGGCUGGGCCACACUCCACAACGACAUGUUCGGCACUCAGACCCUUGAGCAGAUGAAGAAGAUGGAAGAACAAUGGCAGAUAACAUCUCUGUUCACCAGCAAACAGGCUAAAAAGCAGUUUCUAGAGAGCAGCCCAUAAACAUCAUCCACAAUUCUGUUUCUUACCAAGUUCCCAUCCAAUCCCUAGUCCUUUGCUGUUACCACAUUACAACGCCAGACACAAACAUGAGCAGCAACAUCGUUGAUGUGUGACAAUCAGAUUCAGGAACAGCAGAAGCUCCCAGCAAUGAUCAGGUUCAUGAACAUGACAACACCAACCUCAGCAAUUAUGAUCUUCUAUGGACCAUGUCUUUGGUUGCACUAGUACGAUUAUUAUUUUAUUGUAUUUUUGAUUGUUAUAUAUUAUCUGUGUGCCAUUGUGUUAAAUUGCAGCAAUUAAGAUUUCCAUUGGUCUGGUUUCAGUAUAUGACAAUUAAACACAGUUGACUCUCGA
Amblyraja radiata (thorny skate) is the source of this 1114-nucleotide long non-coding RNA. RefSeq lists it as uncharacterized. The record is from RefSeq and is a predicted model, not a curated record. Lineage: Eukaryota; Metazoa; Chordata; Chondrichthyes; Rajiformes; Rajidae. The transcript has 4 exons.